AAACAAAUCAGCCUUUUUUUUAUAUCAAUGUCAUCAAUGUGUAGGCCUAAUAUUAGACUUUCAAUGAUUCAGAAGUUUCUCUACAGUUUCGUUAUUUUUUUUCCCAGUCAUUGAUGUUAGCAUGUACUACACAAAGAAAAACAGGUAACAGAAUUUCAUUUCCUUUUAAUAUAUUUUUUUAAUAAUGGCCAAUAAUUGUUAUUGUAUGUAACACGAAAAGUAUUUAUCUCUGUAGAGAGAGGGCGAGUAAAUGGGGUUUAAAGUUCACUAAAUUCACUUGACACAAACUAUGCCAUUCAUUUCCUUGUAUUAAAUUGGUCGAAUCAAGUAGGUCCAUGCUAUAUAUAUGUCCUAGAAUCAAGUAGGACAGGUAGUCUUCUUCCGCCCUUUUUCUGAACACUGUCUCAUUCUAUUGCCAUCUGUGCAAAGCAUGAAGCCAAAGGAAAUGUUUUUACCAAGGCAUGUUCCUCAAUAGCGGAGAGAGUUUUAUCCAGUGUCGGUUCUGCAGAAGAACCCAUUCAUAGCAGACCACCCAUUGCAGCACUUGUAAGGUCGCUAUAAAGAACCCGACAGACUCUGCGACCAAAAGAUCCCACUGACGUGUCGUCAAGCCUUGACGAAGAUUUCAUCGAUCAUAGUGCACCGGGAUUUUAUCAAAAAAGAGUAAAAGUUGGGGAAAGGUGCCAUCACAUUUUUUGUACUGAUAGACAGAUGCAACUACUCGCACGCGCAAAAACUUGGUAUAUGGAUGCAACUUUUCGGGUGGUGAACAAGCCAUGGUCUCAGCUGUUUUCCAUACACGCCUUCAUUAAGACUGGAGAGACCACCCGACAGUAACCAUUGGUGUUUUGUGUAAUGUCGGGUAAAAGCCAAGACGACUAUUAUAAGUUUCCAUAUUAGAUGCCAUAGCAAAUCAAAGAUCAUAUAAUAAAAUAAGUCAAAAAACCCAAAUAUGGAAAAAGAAAGAGAUGAAGAAAUGGUGAUUUGAGCACCUAUGCUUUCUCAUAGGUGUUUUUGGAGGUUUCCAUAUUAGAUGCCAUAGCAAAUCAAAGAUCAUAUAAUAAAAUAAGUCAAAAAACCCAAAUAUGGGAAAAGAAAGAGCUGAAGAAAUGGUGAUUUGAGCACCUAUGAUUUCUCAUAGGUGUUUUUGGAGGUUAACUACAUCAGAAAGAUCAAGACAGUUGGAAAUGGCUAUUCAUAUUAUGGAAACUUUUUCUCACAGAGCUUGAUAAUCAGGUAAAAUGCUGGAAGAUUAUUUGAUGUAUGAUAACAACAAGAGAUCCCAAGCAUCAAUUUAUUUUAUAAUUCUGGAAAAGAAUGCAUUUGACCCAAUUUUUGAAUAUUUUUUUUUGUUUUUACUGUUAAAUAUUCAUCCCAAACACAAUUAGAUUUUAAUUCUCUACAGAAAUUUAUGUAUAAUAUAGAAUGUAAAGUGACAUAUAAAUCACUUAGAAUUUGGUCGGAAAUCAUAAAGUAUUUAAUAGGCAUAGUCUAGAAACCAAAUGUAGAUCAAAUAUACCCAGAAUUACAAAAAAACUUGACCUACAUUAAGGUGACUUUCCCUUGCUUAUGAAAUGAAAUAGGGUUUAAUAUCCUACUUUUCUGUGUUAUUAUGGUGAUUCUGCCCUACAACCUACUCUUAUAUCAAAUAUUUCAUCCGUCAAGGGUUGUUUAAAGGGAACCCAGGAGGGCCGAAUGGUUAACACACGCACAUUGGAUCAGAAGGGUCUGUCAUUGAGUCAGAUAAUUCAAUUGUCAAGGGUUCUUUAAAGUAAACGCAGUGGGGGUAGUUUCAAUUCUGGGCUUAUACCCAAUUAUCCCUUGCCAUGUCCUACACUGCUGACGUGUGGGAACUAUGUCGGAAAAUCCAGUUGAAAUUUCUCGGCCAAUGCACUCACUGAACCACAGUGGCUGCUCCUUGCUUUUGACUUGUGAUUAUUUAUAUAUAUUUUGUACAUAUUAUUUAAUGUUUGCGAUUUUCUCUGAUAUUUUUUUAUUUUUCAAUCCUGUAAUCUUGAUGCUUUGCUCCUUUUAUGUACAAAAUAUUCAUUUUGUUUGAGGAAAAGGUUCUACAUCAUUUUAUUACUCCUGCAAAAUAGUGCAUUUUUCUUUUGUUAGUUUUCUGUGUAUGCUAGUUAUUUCUAGAUGCCUCACAAAUCACUUGUAAUAUGACUUUGUAGCACUUUUCAGUUUCUGAAAGUAUUUCAAUUUAGUGCAUAAUUAAUCUAAUUAGGGCUUGGUUUGGAUGUUAUUAAAUUUAGAUAUAUUUGAAUUAUAUAUUUUUGGGGUAUGGGGUAGGGAUCUUUCUUUUCUCAGUUCUUGUUUUCGGGUAAAGAAAAAAUUAAAUAGCUAUUUUGAAUUUUGUGAUGUGGGGGGGAGGGGGGCAAAGUAUAACAAAAUUUUUAUUAGUAUUAGAAUUAUAUCUCUGUUUUUCUGUUAACAUUUCAAAUGAUGUCUAUUUAGUUUUGAUUUGGUGGUGUUAAUUUACUUUUUCCUAUCAUUUUAUGAAUAAAUGAUAAUUUAACAAAUAAAAUUAUUGUUACCUCAUUUAUCAAACUUUACAGGUUAAACAGAGCAAAAGGGGUGGGGGGCUGCAUGGGAAAGAUUGCUAAAUUGAGGGAAAAUAAAACACAAGUUUUUGUUGGUGGUUAUACACAAGUUUUUAUGAAACCACACAAGUUUCAGAAAUUUCAACACAAGUUUCAGAAAUUUCAACACAAGUUUCAGAAAUUUCAACACAAGUUUCGACACAAGUAUUGUGUAGAUUUUCACACAAGUUUCAACACAAGUUUGUGUUGUUUGGUAAAUUUUAACACAAGUCUUGUGUUGUUUCAACAUUUAACACAAGUUUGUGUUGUUUCAACACAAGUUUGUGUUGUUAAAUAGAGACACCUAACU
Patella vulgata (common limpet) is the source of this 2898-nucleotide long non-coding RNA. RefSeq lists it as uncharacterized. The record is from RefSeq and is a predicted model, not a curated record. Lineage: Eukaryota; Metazoa; Mollusca; Gastropoda; Patellidae. The transcript has 7 exons.